RNAcentral lists this unclassified non-coding RNA (214 nucleotides) under fungal sp. RNAcentral describes it as "partial internal transcribed spacer region". The stretch from base 1 to 46 matches the Rfam family "Eukaryotic small subunit ribosomal RNA", at positions 1786 to 1831 of the family's 1831-position model. The record is from RNAcentral. Lineage: Eukaryota; Fungi.
AAGUCGUAACAAGGUUUCCGUAGGUGAACCUGCGGAAGGAUCAUUAACACGUAUCCAACGUUAAACAACCCUGUGAACUUUAAGCCUACUCUUGCAGCCCAUGAGGAACGGCCACCGCGCCCCUUAAUCACUCCACUAGAAAAUGCCCCGCCUAGUGGUAACGCGCUAGGUAAAAAAAACCGAACAACUGUUAACAAUGGAUAUCUUGGUUCUC